Molecule: long non-coding RNA, 2511 nt
Organism: Chenopodium quinoa (quinoa)
Lineage: Eukaryota; Viridiplantae; Streptophyta; Magnoliopsida; Caryophyllales; Amaranthaceae
Exons: 2
Source: RefSeq, a predicted model, not a curated record
CAAUUGAGCAGAACUAUCCUGCUUUUGAUCCUUGGGGACAAGGAUCCUCUCAAGGGGAAGGCUUUGAUACAACCACGAAUGCUGAUGCUCGUGCCAUACAUGUGACCACAGGGAAUGAGACUGCUCGUGCAAUGCACAUGGUCAGAGAAGAUACAAUGAAUGCUGCAAAUCAAACAACUGGCAGUGCUGAGUUGGAAGGAAUUAUUCUAGAAAGGGAAUAUUAGCGAACAAACUCCCAUAUUUACGCUUUUCUGUUAUUUUAACUAUUUUCCUGGUAAUUAAGGCUAUUAUAAAAGCCAUUAGUGAAGUAUGUAAUAGUUAUCAGAAAUCAAUACAAUAUUCCCACCUUCCUCUCUCUAUCUCUCUGCCUUUGUAAUAUCAUUAAUACAUUAGUCAAGAUCCUUGUGAUUUCCCUUUAUUCUAUCGGAUUAUCACUGGAAUUGAUUAAUCACAGCACUCAUCUCUUCAUUUAGGAAUUGUGACUGGAUUUUGCUGGAUUAUAUCACAUAGUUAUAUUUUGGGGAAUUUUCUGAGCGAGGUUCAGUGGGGUAAAAUUGAUGAACUUCAUCUGAAUUUGGCGAGGUAUCUAGCAGGGGAUAAGCAAGACGAACUAGUCGAGGCGACUCGGUUCAGCUUGUGUUUACUCUGAUUCUUACUAGAAGAUUUGGUACUGUAUUUAUGUUUUCAUUUUCUUUCAUUCGAUUUCAGCCUUGGUUUAUCUUGAAUUAGAAGUAGUAUAAGUUUUGCUUUGGAGAAUAAAAAUGAAAGUUUGUGCUUUUACUUUGUUAUUUUGCUCAUGAAUGCGUCAGUACUAGCUGGUAUGCAAUUUGCUAUAUUAAUUUAAUUAUUAGCUUAAUUUUCAUUUAUUUGCUUUGUUAAUUAUUUUGAUUAUGAAUUUUAUGUUCGACUAUUUCACCAAAAGUCACUGAGUACUUACGAAAUUCACCGAAUGCCAUCGCGUUUUUCAGAAUUCACCAAAUGCCACUGAGUUUUACAAAAAUUCACCGAGUGUCAUUAAUGACUGACAACCGUUAGUUAACCGUUGGUUGACCCCACCACUUGCCACGUGUCACCUUCUGAUUGGUCCGUUUUAAAAAAAAAUUAAUUUUUUUUAAAAAAUAAAGAAUUUAAAAAACCAAAAAAAUUAAAAAUCAAAAAAAGAAGAGGAGGAGAGAGAAAAUGAGGAACAACCGUCCUUCCUCCACAAUCUCCCCCUCCGGUCAGCCUCCUUUCUUCCCCCUCCACGAUUUCCAACCCCCUUCCUCAAUCUCCGGCAACCGUCGCCUCACUCCGACCACCUUCUCAUUCCGGCGAACUUACACAUUUUCUUUCUCGCGUCUCUCUCUCUCUCUCAGUUCUCCAUUGUAGCGCUUCCUCCUCCCCGAUUUCGAGGCCCCCUUCCUCCACAAUCGGCGGAGAUUCCUCUCGUUCAUCGGAGAAAUUCGCUUGGUGGGUUGUUGCUCAUUCAUUCCCCUUCUCCUCCUUCCUUCGACGAAUUACAUUGGGGGUUUUUGCUCAUGAAGAACCCUAAAAAAUUGAAUUGGGGGUUUUUAUUUGGUGAAGCAAUCCACAUAAUUGUUUGUUCCAAUUGAUUGUAUGUUGAAUUGUGAACAUUUUGGUACAAGUUUAAUGCAAUUUGGUGAAGAAAUGAGUAUUCCUCAAGCUUACCGACGAAGCCCCACCCUUCAAAAUAACUGUUCAUCAUCUUCAAAGAAGAAACUGGUUCAUAUUCAACGGUUCAUCAUCUUCGUUUUCGGUUUCGAAAUCUGGUUGGUUCUUCUUCGUGGUCCCAUUUGUAGAAACCACUAUUAUUUUAAAACGUUAUCCCUGUUAUUGGUUGUUCGUUUUUUGGGUUUCAAGAAACCAAUUUCCAGACAUUUUUUUAAAAAAAAAACUCCACCGGAGAUAAUGAUUCUGUUGGAACUAGAUGGGCGGAUUUGAUUGUUGGGUCUAAUGGGAAGAUGAUCGUUGCAAUCGAUGAGACUGGGUGCUUUUGCUGGUGAUUACGAUGCUAUAAUGGAGAAGGUGAAGGUGAAGUUGGCGGAGGCGGUCAGGGUGGGGAGUAGGGUGGUUGGUUUUAAUUUGGUGGUUUUUUUUUUUAAUGCCACCGAGUAAUUUGGUGGUUUUUUUUUUUUUAUUAUUAUUUUUUUUAAUUUUUUUUAAAUAUUUUUGGUUUUUUUUUUAAUUUUUUUUAAAAACGUACCAAUCAGCAGAUGACAAGUGGCAAGUGGUGGGGUCAACCAACGGUCAACUAACGCCCGUCAGUCAUUAAUGGCACUCGGUGAAUUUUUGUAAAACUCAGUCGCAUUUGGUGAAUUCUGAAAAAUGCGAUGGCAUUUGGUAAAUUUCGUAAGUACUCAACGGCAUUUGGUGAAAUAGUCGUUUUAUGUUUUCUAUUAUAGUAACCUCAAUAUUUGUUAUGUCAGGCUAAAUUGAGUAGGGAGGUAAGUUAUGUAUUGGAUUAUUGGAUUGUGAGAAUAGAUAUGUUGUAAUUCUUGGGUAUUAUGUUUA